AUGUUUAUCUGUCACUUUUGUAAUAAUGAGAGCAGUACAAUCCUGAGUUUUGUGCAGCAUGUGAAAUUGCAUAGAAAUGUGCCUAAAUCAGGUUUUAGAUGUGCUGUACCUGAUUGCCCACAUAUUUUCCCUAAGUUUUCUUCAUUUAAGUCCCACAUAUACAGAAAUCACAGGGAACAUCACCAGUCUGCUGCUAAAGAGCAUCAGGCACAGAUGUGUGAUAAAACAUUUAAAUGCCAUGUAGACUUUUGUGAAGUUCAAUGUGGGACCCUAACACAGUUUUUGUCUCAUUUAAAGAGCCAUAUUCAGUCAGGUCUGGAGAUCCGGUGCCCAUUUGGUUGCAACAGGACAUUUAAGGUGAGAUCUACAUUUGCAUCACAUGUAUCACGGACACAUAAAAUGUGCUCUGUAAACCAUCUGAUAGAGCCUGCUAUGACCAUGGAAACCCCAGUUUCAGAUGUCGUGUCUGAGAGUGAGAGAUCAGAAGUUGCAGAGCAAAUUCUUUCUGAAAUUGUGAAUGAAUCUCUUUUUCUAAGAAAUUUAACCCUCUUCUAUCUGAAACUGCAAGCUAAAUUGCUAUUGCCUGAGUCUACCAUUCAAGGCAUUGUUGAAGAAUUUCAAAACAUCCAUGACAUUGGGCAUUCAUAUUUUCUUAGCAAACUGAGAGAAAAGCUUGCUUUGCUUGAAUUACCAGAGGAAAGGAUUAAUGAUGUGAUUGAUCAGUUGUCUAGGGAGGUUUUGCUGACAGCUUGUAAUAGUGGAGUUCUAAGUACAGCACAGAGGAGAAAGACUACUUUCAAGCAAGAUUUCCACUAUGUUGAGCCAGUCCCUAUUUUUUUAGGAGUCAGUGAAAGAAAUGGGAAAGAGUACUUUGCUCGAUAUGUCCCAGUUAAACAGACCAUCAGUGCUCUGUUUCAGUGCCAGUCUGUGAGGGAUCAAUAUGAACAGAUGCACUCGCAAACAGUUGAAAAUAAUAUGUUUCGGGAUGUAAAGGAUGGUAUGAAUUUUUCUGAAAAUUUUCUCUUUCAAACUGAUCCAUCAUCUCUGGAUUUGAUCAUUUACCAGGAUUCAUUUGAGGUGGUAAAUCCUUUAGGCUCAGCUAGAAAAAAACACAAAUUACUGGCAGUUUAUCUUACCUUGUCUGAUAUUUUACCUCACAACAGGUCAAACAUAGACCACAUGCAACUUGUUCUUUUGUGUAAUGAGCAAGAUUUUAAGUACUUUGGACCAGCUCAUGUUUUUAGAUCACUAAUUGAAGAUCUCAAAGAUCUUGAGGAGAAUGGUGUUGUGUUGAAUGAUGGCAAAAUUUUGAAAGCUUCUUUGUGUUCCAUCGUAGGUGACAACCUAGGAUCCCACAUGAUUGGUGGUUUUGUCGAGAACUUUAGCCGAAGCCUACAUUUCUGCAGGUAUUGCACCAUUGAGAGAGACUCAUUCCAUGCCACACCUUUAGAACCUGCUAUGAAGCGAACUGUGGAGUCUUACGAGAGAAACAUUCAGGAACUUGCUACCUUAGGUGAUAAUGUAGUUGAUGGAGUCAAAUUUAACUCUCCUUUUAAUCAGCUGAAUUCUUUUCAUGUUUGUCAGCCUGGCUUGCCCCCCUGCCUUGGACAUGACAUGAGGGUGUUGUGGCGUCUGAUCUUAAGUUGUACAUUGAUUACUUGGUAA
Long non-coding RNA from Cyprinus carpio (common carp), 1665 nucleotides. The record is from Ensembl. Lineage: Eukaryota; Metazoa; Chordata; Actinopteri; Cypriniformes; Cyprinidae.